GCUGAGGUCUAUCCCGACAAACCUUUAACCGUAAGGCUGUGUCGUUGGAAAUGCCUCAGAGAGUAAACCUGCGGUUUCGCUUUACCCUCAUGUUCACUACCAUGAGCAUGGUGGGAUAUUACUGCAGAACACGU
Toxotes jaculatrix (banded archerfish) is the source of this 134-nucleotide small nucleolar RNA. Lineage: Eukaryota; Metazoa; Chordata; Actinopteri; Toxotidae. The record is from RefSeq and is a predicted model, not a curated record.